RNAcentral lists this long non-coding RNA (959 nucleotides) under Marmota monax (woodchuck). The record is from RNAcentral. Lineage: Eukaryota; Metazoa; Chordata; Mammalia; Rodentia; Sciuridae.
UGGGUCCACUUGGUUAUCUGGAUUUCAUUGUCUUUUUUAGGAUUUCUCAGUCGUGCUGUCUUCUUGAGACUGUGUGUGGAGUCAACCAGUCAUGGAUAAAGGAAGACGUGAAGUCAGUCCCAGUGCACCGGCACGGAGUACCAAAAGGAAGGCAGAUGAAUACUUAAAACCCAAACUAAGCUCCAAAAAUGUGCUGAGUUUUUUGCUAGGUAGACAACUAGGGAGGCAUGAAAGUGAUGUGGAUCUGUCAAAGUGGCUGUUGAUGUUGCAACGAGCAAAACCUGGGUGGGGUUGGCCUUUUCCAAAACACCAUGUGGCUUACAUGCUUAUGCCUGCCCAGAAUCUUGGAAAACCCAGAAAAAAGGGUGUAGAAUAAAAAGUCUUCCUUGUUUCAGCUAUUGACAUAGAAGCUGUAUUUUUACUUCUUUCUGUUCAAUGUGUGUUUUCUGACGUAGCCUUCUUGAGUUGCCCUGGAAGAGAUCCUAUUAUCCAUUCUAACAUUCCACACAGGAAUUUUCAAACUCAAGGGGAUGGUGAGGUCACUCUCCACAUCACAUCUUUUCCACUAUUAAUCUGUAGAAUAAAUGUGAAGGCAUAGCUCUAUGGUGUUUGGCCACUCAGAACCAAAUACUCUUCCCCCAAGCCAUUUUAGAGGGCCAUACAUUCUGUUUCACUCUAAAAUCUGCUUGCCUCAGUGAGAAACAUUGUUUAAUAGCAGGCCAUGAGCUGGGUAGGAGGUUUCAAAUACUUUUUCAUAAUGAUGCUCAUGAGGGCAUAAUUUACAAACUAAAGCAUUGUGUCUUUGUUGGUUCUAUUUAAUAUGAAAAAUCAGAGCAUUGACUGUUGGAAAUGUUAUACCUCAAGAGCCUUGUAAAGAUAAUUGUUCUUCUCAUUGUUCCCAAAGAACUGGAAUCCCCAGGUGCUUCUUCCCCGCUGUGCCAUGUGAAAUAAAUUUGUUC